This 348-nucleotide ribosomal RNA is filed under the name uncultured bacterium. RNAcentral's name for it is "partial 16S ribosomal RNA". It matches the Rfam family "Bacterial small subunit ribosomal RNA", at positions 338 to 703 of the family's 1533-position model. The record is from RNAcentral.
CCUACGGGGGGCUGCAGUGGGGAAUAUUGCACAAUGGGGGAAACCCUGAUGCAGCGACGCCGCGUGAGUGAAGAAGAAAUUCGUUAUGUAAAGCUCUAUCAGCAGGGAAGAAAAUGACGGUACCUGAGUAAGAAGCCCCGGCGAACUACGUGCCAGCAGCCGCGGUAAUACGUAGGGGGCAAGCGUUAGCCGGAUUUACUGGGUGUACAGGGAGCGUAGACGGCAGUGCAAGUCUGGAGUGAAAGGCGGGGGCUCCACCCCCGGACUGCUCGGGAAACGGUACGGCUGGAGUGCAGGAGAGGUCAGUGGCUUUCCUCCUGUAGCGGUGACAUGCGUCGAUAUUAGGCG